Molecule: ribosomal RNA, 194 nt
Filed under: uncultured bacterium
Lineage: Bacteria
Description: partial 16S ribosomal RNA
Rfam family: Bacterial small subunit ribosomal RNA
Source: RNAcentral
CCUACGGGGGGCUGCAGUAGGGAAUCUUCCGCAAUGGACGAAAGUCUGACGGAGCAACGCCGCGUGAGCGAAGAAGGUCUUCGGAUCGUAAAGCUCUGUUGUUAGGGAAGAACAAGUAUCGGAGGAAAUGCCGGUACCUUGACGGUACCUGACGAGAAAGCCACGGCUAACUACGUGCCAGCAGCCGCGGUAAU